This 297-nucleotide ribosomal RNA is filed under the name Sarasinula sp. n. 1 NB-2014. Its description in RNAcentral is "partial 16S ribosomal RNA". It matches the Rfam family "Archaeal large subunit ribosomal RNA", at positions 2005 to 2613 of the family's 2987-position model. The record is from RNAcentral. Lineage: Eukaryota; Metazoa; Mollusca; Gastropoda; Systellommatophora; Veronicellidae.
CGGCCGCAGUACUCUGACUGUGCAAAGGUAGCAUAAUCAAUUGGCUUUUAUUGGAGUCUAGUAUGAAUGGAUUUACGUAAAAGUUCUGUCUCAAUAAAAUUUUUUCUAAAUUUUUUAAAAGGUGAAAAAACCUUUAAUAUCUAAAAGACGAGAAGACCCUAAGAAUUUUAAAAAAAUUAAAUCAUCUUUUUUGCUGGGGCGGCAAUGGAUCAUGAAACAUCCAUAUUAUCGAGUCUUCGUGUUAUAAAUUACCUUAGGGAUAACAGCACAAUUGUGACCUCGAUGUUGGACUACGAA